UGGGAGAUAGUUCAACGGCAGAACAGUGGACUUUGGAUCCAUUAAUCCUGGUUCGAAUCCAGGUCUCCCAG
RNAcentral lists this transfer RNA (71 nucleotides) under Blastochloris sp. RNAcentral's name for it is "tRNA-Gln". It matches the Rfam family "tRNA". Rfam says of the family: Transfer RNA (tRNA) molecules are approximately 80 nucleotides in length. Their secondary structure includes four short double-helical elements and three loops (D, anti-codon, and T loops). The record is from RNAcentral. Lineage: Bacteria; Pseudomonadati; Pseudomonadota; Alphaproteobacteria; Hyphomicrobiales; Blastochloridaceae.